GGAUCGGCUGCAAUUUUACCUAUUUUCUUAUUGUCUUGAGCUCCCUUUUUUAGAACUGUUCGGUAGAUUCAAUGCUCCUUCUUCUUCUGCAAAGUUCAAAGUUGAAGAAGCUAUCUGGGUUCUAGUUAAUUUCGAUAGAUCUUUUCACGGGCAGGAGAUUGUGUUUUGCCUUUCAUGACUUUCAGGAAGAUAAGGAAGAAGAAAGGGGAGAGAGAGAGAAAAGAUUGGUGAUGGGACGCUAAAAGAGAAGAGUGGAUGAAUGAGGACUCUCCAGCGAGAGAGAA
This 284-nucleotide unclassified non-coding RNA is filed under the name Hevea brasiliensis (rubber tree). Lineage: Eukaryota; Viridiplantae; Streptophyta; Magnoliopsida; Malpighiales; Euphorbiaceae. The record is from RNAcentral.